Long non-coding RNA from Carassius gibelio (silver crucian carp), 3255 nucleotides. RefSeq lists it as uncharacterized. Lineage: Eukaryota; Metazoa; Chordata; Actinopteri; Cypriniformes; Cyprinidae. The transcript has 12 exons. The record is from RefSeq and is a predicted model, not a curated record.
AAUUAUCCGUAGUAAAACUAAUUAGACCAUUUUUAAAUAACUGAAUGUUCAUUUAAAUUAUUUAAACAUUAUAAUGGACCUACUGUAUAGGUGUUUUAUGUCGUAGAACAACUUCAAACAUCUUUAAAUGCUUGAAAUCAUUGAUUUUCACUGGUAGUUUAAGAAAACGCUUGACUACAAUGUAGGCAACACAAUCCCAAUUAUACCAUAUAAAGACUAUUAAUGUGUUAUAUCUGACAGGCUAAGAACUAACUACUUUGUCAUACAAUUGGCAAUGGGUUAUUUACUGCAUUUAAACUUAUGUCUCUUGCUACUUAGGUUUUCACUCAUGGAGAGAAGAACUUGGACCAAUCCAGGAUGCGGAGUACCAUAUCCAAGCGGGGAUUGAUAAACCAUGUCUCCAGCGUUUUAUCAAUAAUUUUAAAGCAUUGAUGCAUGUGAAAAGGACUCCUCUCUUGGGAGACUUGUUGAUGACGACCACAGAAGACCUAUUUUUGCAAAAUGAAAACCAUAAGUAAAGAAACCACACUUGUCUCUCCGCGAUUCGAGAUAUUACACCUGGAGAAGAACUGACUUACAACAACGUGACUCAAACUGGCCAUGGAGAGCACAGCCCCCAAAACACACUUCACUGGCACGGACACCCUGUUCAACAUGCCCGUCUCAGAUGAUAAUUUGCAGAGUGAGCGCUCGAAGUUGCAGGCCAGGAUUGACAAAUUAAAAACACCACAAUCGGUGUGAAACUCUGUAUGAAUCUACGGCUGAGAAGCGAAAUGCUCUUCAAAGACAGCGAACCUUACUCCUACUGCAAUUGGCAAACUUGGAUAAAAUGCUGGGCCCAGAAUCACAUCCAGUCACUUAAACAGCAGAAGAUUCUGUGAUACCCUCACCAACAGACACACAGGUAUGGUCAGAAAUUGACCAUGCAUCUCCAACCAGCGAAUGUGUACCACCACUGGAAAGAACGGAGUGUAUUUGUUGCCUUCCAAAUCAACAUGGACUAGGGUUAGGGUUCUUAACAUGAAUGACACCGAAAUGGACCAACUUGCUGAUUUCCUGGGACAUGAUAUUCGUAUCCACAGGAAAUAUUACAGAUUACCCGAGGGAACACUAUUAACAGGAGUGCGUUGAGCCUGAUCCUGGGAUAGAGAGUGAAACAGAACUGUCAGAUCAUUCUCAUGACGUGACGUCAAGUGAGACAGCAGGCACUUCAGGAGUGAAUAGCAGCAGGCCAGUAAACAUGAAUGAAGGAUCUCCAGAGAGGUCACGGGAGGUCAUGAAAGUAACAUCAGUUCCUAGGAAGAGAAAGUGGAGUGAGGUGGAGAUUGCGGCUGUAGAAGAGACAAUGAUGAAAUGUAUUCACUCGGGAGUUACUCCUGGAAAAGUCGACUACAUUGCAUGCAUUACAGCAGCCCCCAAAGCCCUCGGUGAACGAGACUGGCAGGCGGUGAAGUAUUAUAUAAAAAACAGAAUCACAGCAUAUGAGAGAAAGACCACUAAAAAGUAAGGUUGAUUUUGGUUGUUGAUUCCGUUUUUGCGUUUUAGUUGAAUUAUAAUAUUUUUUUUUUUUGGUCUCAAUACUAGGGCUGCACGAUAUUGGGGAAAAAGGACAUUGCGAUAUCUUAUUUUUCUGCGAUAUAUAUUGCGAUAUGAUAUCUAAUCUAAUUUUUUCUUACAAACAAAAAUGGCAUGAGCACACAUACAUUCUCAUUUUAAAUGAUUUAAACAUCAGAGUAUUGUUUAAAUUAGAGUAAAUUAUUUGUUUGUAACUUUAGGAUAUGGUUUGAAUUGUUAACAUUAACUAACAUGAACUUACCAUGAGCAAUACUUGUGUUACUAUAUUUUUUAAUCUUUGUUUAUCUUCGUUAUCUUAAACACAGCUGUUCAUUGUUUGGUAAUGUUACUUCACAGUAGGGAUGCUCUGGUUGACCGGCCAUUAAUCGGAACCGGCCGGUUUUUGCUUAAAAUACGCAAUCGCCCGUUUUUGGUGUUUUUCCGGCCGAUUAUUCCGGAAGUGCGCUCGCGUGCACAGACUACAUUGUAAUCGUUCGCUAUGUAAUUUGUGUGGAAGAGUAUUUCGAAAUCUGUGCGCAGGACACAGGCAGUCGAUCAGUACCGGAAAUGCAGAGCUUCAUGUCUGAGGCACAGAUGGCAGGAAGUGAACAGCCCUGUUGUACUGCCGCACAAAUAAGAGCCUUUCCUGCACACUGAAGCUGCGCGAGCGUAUACUUUAUCUGUCCGCGCCCUGAACACGAGUAGACCGUGAAGAGAUGUUCAGCUCAACUUCUCACGUGUUGGAUGAGAAACGAAACGGACUAAACUGUGACAAAACAGAAUUAUUUUUUAUUUAUUUAUUUUACUUUUUAUUAUUAUUAUUAGAACUUGCAUUCAUGUUUGAAAAGCCAGAAAUAAACUUCAGUUCUGAAUUAGGAUGAUUAUUUUUAUUUUACCCUAAAAUAGACUUAAUUUAAUUUAAAAAUCAUCUGCUGUAGCACACUGAAAAAAAGUAUUUCAUCUAAUUAAAAUAUUUUAGGGUAAUGAUUCACAUCUAUAUUUUUUUUACUUGAGUCAACAAGUUAUUUAUUUUUCACUGGCUCAAGUAAAAAAAAUAUAGAUGUGAAUCAUUAUCCUAUUUAUUUUUUAAUUAUUAUUAUUAUUGGAUGAAUGAAACCCUUUGCAUCUUUGUUUUAUUCGCACAAACAUUAUUUGAUUUUAACAUUUUGGAAAAUGUAUUUAUAUAGCAUACUUUUAUUUAGUCUCACUGGUAAAGACCUUUUUUUUUUAACUUAAAACCAAAUUUAAAAACUAAAAUACUGAAUGCUGAUCAAGAAACAUCUUUUUGAAUGUGUGUUGAUUGUGUUGUUUGGACUGUAGAACUAUGCAGUUGUUACCUUUAAUUUCACAUGGUUACAGUUAAUCUUUUAUUUAAGGCCAGUUCUCUGUAGUUUCAACCCAAUUAAAAAACAAAAGCUAAAUGCUGAUGUCUGUACCAUCUGUGUUUGUAUUGAAUGUAGGCUACUUAUUGUGCAGUUACUGCUAUUAAUUUAAUAAACAAGAUUUGACAACACAGAACACGUCAUAGAAUUAUAAUUUUUUUUUCCGACAUCGUUUUUUGAUUUUGAUAAAUUUGCGCGAGGGAGAGAGCAAGACAACGCUUGUGUUGUUUGAAGACGGUGAAGGUGGGCGUGAGCGCGUGGCUGGGCUCUCUCUCUCUCUCUCUCUCUCUCUCUCUCUCUCGUGCUCUUUCUCUCUCUC